GAUGAACGCUGGCGGCGUGCUUAACACAUGCAAGUCGAACGGAAAGGCCCUGCUUUGGUGGGGUGCUCGAGUGGCGAACGGGUGAGUAACACGUGAGUAACCUGCCCUUGACUUUGGGAUAACUUCAGGAAACUGGGGCUAAUACCGGAUAGGAGCUCCUGCUGCAUGGUGUGGGUUGGAAAGUUUCGGCGGUUGGGGAUGGACUCGCGGCUUAUCAGCUUGUUGGUGGGGUAGUGGCUUACCAAGGCUUUGACGGGUAGCCGGCCUGAGAGGGUGACCGGCCACAUUGGGACUGAGAUACGGCCCAGACUCCUACGGGAGGCAGCAGUGGGGAAUAUUGCACAAUGGGCGGAAGCCUGAUGCAGCAACGCCGCGUGCGGGAUGACGGCCUUCGGGUUGUAAACCGCUUUCGCCUGUGACGAAGCGUGAGUGACGGUAAUGGGUAAAGAAGCACCGGCUAACUACGUG
RNAcentral lists this ribosomal RNA (468 nucleotides) under uncultured bacterium. RNAcentral describes it as "partial 16S ribosomal RNA". It matches the Rfam family "Bacterial small subunit ribosomal RNA", at positions 28 to 507 of the family's 1533-position model. The record is from RNAcentral.